GACGAACGCUGGCGGCGUGCCUAAUACAUGCAAGUCGAACGCUUCUUUCCUCCCGAGUGCUUGCACUCAAUUGGAAAGAGGAGUGGCGGACGGGUGAGUAACACGUGGGUAACCUACCCAUCAGAGGGGGAUAACACUUGGAAACAGGUGCUAAUACCGCAUAACAGUUUAUGCCGCAUGGCAUAAGAGUGGAAGGCGCUUUCGGGUGUCGCUGAUGGAUGGACCCGCGGUGCAUUAGCUAGUUGGUGAGGUAACGGCUCACCAAGGCCACGAUGCAUAGCCGACCUGAGAGGGUGAUCGGCCACACUGGGACUGAGACACCGCCCAGACUCCUACGGGAGGCAGCAGUAGGGAAUCUUCGGCAAUGGACGAAAGUCUGACCGAGCAACGCCGCGUGAGUGAAGAAGGUUUUCGGAUCGUAAAACUCUGUUGUUAGAGAAGAACAAGGACGUUAGUAACUGAACGUCCCCUGACGGUAUCUAACCAGAAAGCCACGGCUAACUACGUG
This 508-nucleotide ribosomal RNA is filed under the name uncultured bacterium. RNAcentral's name for it is "partial 16S ribosomal RNA". It matches the Rfam family "Bacterial small subunit ribosomal RNA", at positions 28 to 507 of the family's 1533-position model. The record is from RNAcentral.